This 420-nucleotide ribosomal RNA is filed under the name uncultured bacterium. Its description in RNAcentral is "bacterial SSU rRNA". It matches the Rfam family "Bacterial small subunit ribosomal RNA", at positions 356 to 773 of the family's 1533-position model. The record is from RNAcentral.
AGGGAAUAUUGGGCAAUGGAGGCAACUCUGACCCAGCCAUGCCGCGUGAAGGAAGACGGUCCUAUGGAUUGUAAACUUCUUUUAUCAUAGAGUAACCGCAGGGACGUGUCCCUGCCUGCAAGUAUAUGAUGAAUAAGCAUCGGCUAACUCCGUGCCAGCAGCCGCGGUAAUACGGAGGAUGCAAGCGUUAUCCGGAUUUAUUGGGUUUAAAGGGUGCGCAGGCGGACCGGUAAGUCAGGGGUGAAACUUUACAGCUUAACUGUAAACGUGCCUUUGAUACUGCCGGACUAGAGUUUAAGAGACGUAAUUGGAAUGUGAUGUGUAGCGGUGAAAUGCUUAGAUAUAUCACAGAACGCCAAUCGUGAAGACAGAUUACGAACUUAAUACUGACGCUCAUGCACGAAAGCGUGGGGAUCAAAC